Molecule: microRNA precursor, 60 nt
Filed under: Blattella germanica (German cockroach)
Lineage: Eukaryota; Metazoa; Arthropoda; Insecta; Blattodea; Blattellidae
Description: Bge-Mir-216-P2_pre stem-loop
Source: RNAcentral
UAAUCUCAUGUGGUAACUGUGAGUGAUUUGCGCAACCUCAGAUUGCCACGUGGGGUUUCA